ACCGGCGGCUCGAGUGGUGGCCACUAUUACUGGGCUUAAAGCGUUCGUAGCUGGCUUGUUAAGUCUCUGGGGAAAUCUUCCGGCUCAACCGGAAGGCGUCUCAGGGAUACUGGCAGGCUAGGGACCGGAAGAGGUGAGAGGUACUCCAGGGGGAGGGGUGCAAUCCGGGAAUCCCUGGGGGAACACCCGUGGCGAAGGCGUCCCACCAGGACGGCACCCACAGUGAGGAACGAAAGCUGGGGGAGCAAACCG
RNAcentral lists this ribosomal RNA (252 nucleotides) under uncultured prokaryote. RNAcentral describes it as "partial 16S rRNA". It matches the Rfam family "Archaeal small subunit ribosomal RNA", at positions 475 to 726 of the family's 1478-position model. The record is from RNAcentral.